Molecule: long non-coding RNA, 363 nt
Organism: Myotis davidii
Lineage: Eukaryota; Metazoa; Chordata; Mammalia; Chiroptera; Vespertilionidae
Exons: 3
Source: RefSeq, a predicted model, not a curated record
CACGCCCAUUCAGUAAUGGGCCGGGGGACAUGGGAGGCCCUUCUUCCCAAGAAACUUCAAUUCCUUUCCUCUCUUGCCUCUCCCACCCAAUUCCCUUUGGUUUGUCAUAUUUAAAUGUUUUAAUUGAUUUCUGUAUUUUUUUUUCCUUUGAGAGAAUAAUUAUUGUUUUCUGACGUCAGGGGGUGGCCGUGGAAAAGCCCCCUUUUCCCUCAUCUGCAGGGGACUAUUGUGGCCUGGGUGGGGCAGUGAUCCUCCUUCCAUGUGUAUGGGUGGGCCCAGGAAAAUCUGUGCUGGGGUGGCGGGCAGGCAAAGGGAUUACUGCCUGCCAGAUCUUCAAACUUUUUUAACAUAUAUAUAUUUAAA